GCAGCCGCGGUAAUACGGAGGAUGCGAGCGUUAUCCGGAUUUAUUGGGUUUAAAGGGAGCGUAGGUGGUCUGUUAAGCCAGCUGUGAAAUACUGUAGCUCAACUACAGCCGUGCAUUUGGAACUGGCAGACUUGAGUGCACUAGAGGAAGGUGGAAUUCAUGGUGUAGCGGUGAAAUGUUUAGAUAUCAUGAAGAACUCCGAUUGCGAAGGCAGCCUUCUGGAGUGUAACUGACACUGAGGCUCGAAAGUGUGGGUAUCGAACAGGAUUAGAUACCCC
RNAcentral lists this ribosomal RNA (278 nucleotides) under uncultured Oscillospiraceae bacterium. Its description in RNAcentral is "partial 16S ribosomal RNA". It matches the Rfam family "Bacterial small subunit ribosomal RNA", at positions 511 to 788 of the family's 1533-position model. Lineage: Bacteria; Bacillati; Bacillota; Clostridia; Eubacteriales; Oscillospiraceae. The record is from RNAcentral.